AGCAGCCGCGGUAAUUCCAGCUCCAAUAGCGUAUAUUAAAGUUGUUGCAGUUAAAAAGCUCGUAGUUGAAUUUCGGGAUCAGUAGGUUGGUCAUGCCUCUGGUAUGUACUGGUCUUACUGGUUCCUCCUUCCUGAUGAACCGUAAUGCCAUUAAUUUGGUGUUGCGGGGAAACUGGACUGUUACUUUGAAAAAUUAGAGUGUUUAAAGCAGGCUAACGCUUGAAUACAUUAGCAUGGAAUAAUGAAAUAGGACGUUCGAUCCUAUUUUGUUGGUUUCUAGGAUUGACGUAAUGAUUAAUAGGGAUAGUUGGGGGCAUUAGUAUUCAAUUGUCAGAGUGAAAUUCUUGGAUUUAUUGAAGACUAACUACUGCGAAAGCAUUUGCCAAGGAUGUUU
RNAcentral lists this ribosomal RNA (394 nucleotides) under uncultured Glomeromycotina. RNAcentral describes it as "SSU rRNA". It matches the Rfam family "Eukaryotic small subunit ribosomal RNA", at positions 569 to 969 of the family's 1831-position model. Lineage: Eukaryota; Fungi; Glomeromycota. The record is from RNAcentral.